RNAcentral lists this transfer RNA (77 nucleotides) under Ilumatobacter sp. RNAcentral's name for it is "tRNA-Leu". It matches the Rfam family "tRNA". Rfam says of the family: Transfer RNA (tRNA) molecules are approximately 80 nucleotides in length. Their secondary structure includes four short double-helical elements and three loops (D, anti-codon, and T loops). Further hydrogen bonds mediate the characteristic L-shaped molecular structure. tRNAs have two regions of fundamental functional importance: the anti-codon, which is responsible for specific mRNA codon recognition, and the 3' end, to which the tRNAs corresponding amino acid is attached (by aminoacyl-tRNA synthetases). tRNAs cope with the degeneracy of the genetic code in two manners: having more than one tRNA (with a specific anti-codon) for a particular amino acid; and 'wobble' base-pairing, i.e. permitting non-standard base-pairing at the 3rd anti-codon position. Lineage: Bacteria; Bacillati; Actinomycetota; Acidimicrobiia; Acidimicrobiales; Ilumatobacteraceae. The record is from RNAcentral.
GCGUCGCUAGCCCAACCGGGAGAGGCACAGGGUUCAGGUUCCUGGCAGUGCGGGUUCGACUCCCGCGCGACGCACCA